UGACAGGUGGUGCAUGGUUGUCGUCAGCUCGUGUCGUGAGAUGUUGGGUUAAGUCCCGCAACGAGCGCAACCCUCGACCUUAGUUGCCAGCAUUCAGUUGGGCACUCUAAGGUGACUGCCGGCUAAAAGUCGGAGGAAGGUGGGGAUGACGUCAAAUCAUCAUGCCCCUUAUGACCUGGGCUACACACGUGCUACAAUGGGCGGUACAAAGGGUCGCGAACCCGCAAGGGGGAGCCAAUCCCAAAAAGCCGCUCUCAGUUCGGAUUGCAGGCUGCAACUCGCCUGCAUGAAGCCGGAAUCGCUAGUAAUCGCGGAUCAGCACGCCGCGGUGAAUACGUUCCCGGGCCUU
Molecule: ribosomal RNA, 349 nt
Filed under: uncultured Anoxybacillus sp.
Lineage: Bacteria; Bacillati; Bacillota; Bacilli; Caryophanales; Anoxybacillaceae
Description: bacterial SSU rRNA
Rfam family: Bacterial small subunit ribosomal RNA
Source: RNAcentral